RNAcentral lists this non-coding RNA (59 nucleotides) under unclassified sequences. The record is from RNAcentral.
CGCGUAAUGCAGCCUACUAAGGUAGCCAGUCCUAAGCCUGGGUAAAUGCAGAAGGCGAA